UUUCUGUGAAGAGUUUGAUCCUGGCUCAGGAUGAACGCUAGCGGUGCGCCUAAUACAUGCAAGUCGAGCGGUAACAGGGAGAGCUUGCUCUCUGCUGACGAGCGGCGGACGGCUGAGUAACACGUUGGAACCUACCCCAGACUCAGGGAUAACCUACCGAAAGGUAGACUAAUACCGGAUAGUCUCGUAAGAGUAAAGCUUUUGCGGUCUGGGAGGGGCCUGCGUCCUAUCAGCUAGUUGGUGAGGUAAAAGCUCACCAAGGCUAUGACGGGUAGCUGAUGUGAGAGCAUGAUCAGCCAGAAUGGAACUGAGACACGGUCCAUACUCCUACGGGAGGCAGCAGUAAGGAAUCUUCCGCAAUGGACGAAAGUCUGACGGAGCGACACCGCGUGCAGGAUGACACCCCUUGGGGCGUAAACUGCUUUUCUGAGGGAUGAAAUUUUGACAUUACCUCAGGAAUAAGCGCCGGCUAACUACGUGCCAGCAGCCGCGGUAAUACGUAGGGCGCGAGCGUUAUCCGGAAUCAUUGGGCGUAAAGCGUCCGCAGCCGGAUUUAUAAGUCUGAUAUAAAAUCUCGGGGCUCAACCCCGAAACUGUAUUAGAAACUGUAAAUCUAGAGUAAUUUAGAGGCACAUGGAAUUCGUGGUGUAGGGGUUAAAUCCGUUGAUACCACGAGGAACACCAAAAGCGAAGGCAGUGUGCUGGGAAUUUACUGACGGUCAGGGACGAAAGCGUGGGGAGCGAAAAGGAUUAGAUACCCUUGUAGUCCACGCCGUAAACGAUGGAUACUCGACGUUCUGGAGAUUCGACCCUCUGGAGUGUCUAAGCUAACGCGUUAAGUAUCCCGCCUGGGGAGUACGGCCGCAAGGUUAAAACUCAAAGGAAUAGACGGGGACCCCCACAAGCGGUGGAGCAUGUGGUUUAAUUCGACAAUACGCGGAGAACCUUACCAGGGCUUGACAUCCCGAGAAUCUCUCAGAAACGAGAGAGUGCCGCAAGGAACUCGGUGACAGGUGCUGCAUGGUUGUCGUCAGCUCGUGCCUUGAGGUGUACGGUUAAGUCCGUUAACGAGCGCAACCCUUAUCUUAUGUUGUAUAUUUCAUGAGAGACUGCCCGGUACAACCGGGAGGAAGGUGAGGAUGACGUCAAAUCAGCAUGGCCCUUAUGUCCUGGGCUACACACGUGCUACAAUGGAAUGUACAAAGUGCAGCGAAGCGGUAACGUGGAGCGAAUCACAAAAACAUUUCUAAGUUCGAAUUGAGGGCUGCAACUCGCCCUCAUGAAGUUGGAAUCGCUAGUAAUCGUGAAUCAGCUACGUCACGGUGAAUGUGUUCCGGGGUCUUGUACUCACCGCCCGUCAAGUCACGAAAGGAGGGAGUGCCCGAAGUCGUGUUAUCCUUUCGAGGAGCAUGCCUAAGGUAAAACUUCUGAUUGGGGCUAAGUCGUAACAAGGUAUCCGUAGGAGAACCUGCGGAUGGAUCACCUCCCUA
Molecule: ribosomal RNA, 1490 nt
Filed under: Candidatus Peregrinibacteria bacterium
Lineage: Bacteria; Candidatus Peregrinibacteriota
Description: bacterial SSU rRNA
Rfam family: Bacterial small subunit ribosomal RNA
Source: RNAcentral